Long non-coding RNA from Hypanus sabinus (Atlantic stingray), 554 nucleotides. RefSeq lists it as uncharacterized. The record is from RefSeq and is a predicted model, not a curated record. The transcript has 3 exons. NCBI's taxonomy places the organism in Eukaryota, Metazoa, Chordata, Chondrichthyes, Myliobatiformes, Dasyatidae.
GCCUGCUUGCAUUUACCCUAUCUAUACCCCUCAUAAUUUUGCAUACCCCUGGAUCAAGAUGGCUUGCUUCAUCUGCACACUUAUGGAAAGCAUCAAAAUAACAGGGAUGUUUGACGAUACUCGGGGACUUUGUUUCCUGGGAAGGACUCUCCUGUCAGCUGCUAAAGUCACAGCGAAACUUCCGAUCACACUACUGCCGAACCUCGGCCGGUGUGCGGGGACUUACAAGGGUUCUUUUGAAGACCCUGACCUGACUGGUUCUUUGUGAGAAUGGGACCCGCUCUCGGGGUUCCAUAAAUGGCUAUUGUUCGGCACACCAAAGGCUCGGCCUAAGAGUCCGGCUUGGAUUUGGAAGCCUAGGAUCUCGGGGCUCUGGAGAUGGGUGGAUCGAGAGUCAGUGUCACGACAGGAGACCCGUGUGUCGUCAGGAGGUGACUGAAAGUGAUUGAUAAAGCUGGAGCUAUGGAGGUUGGUAACGAAGAUUCUCAUAAGGCAUUUGACAAGGUUUCGCUUGGGACACUUACCAGAAGAUUAAGAUGCUGGGAUCUACAGUG